Molecule: transfer RNA, 73 nt
Filed under: Acropora cervicornis
Lineage: Eukaryota; Metazoa; Cnidaria; Anthozoa; Scleractinia; Acroporidae
Description: tRNA-Thr
Rfam family: tRNA
About the family: Transfer RNA (tRNA) molecules are approximately 80 nucleotides in length. Their secondary structure includes four short double-helical elements and three loops (D, anti-codon, and T loops).
Source: RNAcentral
GGCUUCAUAGCUCAGUUGGUUAGAGUGUCACACCGGUAUUGCAAGGUCACGGGUUCAAACCCCGUUGAAGUCC